GACGAACGCUGGCGGCGUGCUUAACACAUGCAAGUCGAACGGAAAGACCCUGCUUUUGUGGGGUGCUCGAGUGGCGAACGGGUGAGUAACACGUGAGUAACCUGCCCUUGACUUUGGGAUAACUUCAGGAAACUGGGGCUAAUCCCGGAUAGGAGCUCCUGCUGCAUGGUGGGGGUUGGAAAGUUUCGGCGGUUGGGGAUGGACUCGCGGCUUAUCAGCUUGUUGGUGGGGUAGUGGCUUACCAAGGCUUUGACGGGUAGCCGGCCUGAGAGGGUGACCGGCCACAUUGGGACUGGGAUACGGCCAAGACUCCUACGGGAGGAAGAAGUGGGGAAUAUUGCACAAUGGGCGGAAGCCUGAUGCAGCAACGCCGCGUGCGGGAUGCCGGCCUUCGGGUUGUAACCCGCUUUCGCCUGUGACGAAGCGUGAGUGACGGUAAUGGGUAAAGAAGCACCGGCUAACUACGUG
This 468-nucleotide ribosomal RNA is filed under the name uncultured bacterium. RNAcentral's name for it is "partial 16S ribosomal RNA". It matches the Rfam family "Bacterial small subunit ribosomal RNA", at positions 28 to 507 of the family's 1533-position model. The record is from RNAcentral.